GUUUAACAGUCUGUAGUUAUGGGCUCAUCUCUUCUGACCACGAGUUGACUGCAUAGAUUAAAAUCUUAGACCAUGAGGAUUUGAUGGUGAGAGAGCAUGUUACAGGUCAGUUCUGUAAAUGCUUAGCUGUAUGCCGAAGCAUGAAUUCUGACGGACCCACUGUUGGUUUUGAAUUCAAGCUUGCCUUUACGUGGCCUCGAAAAACCAUCUACUUGGGUGUAUAUUUUUCUACACAAACCCACGAGAGGGCAGCAGACAGCAAGGGUUCGGGCAGUGCCUCACUACAGGCAGCUCAGGCAGCACCCAGCAAACGGGGAACGAAGCUGGUCGUUGGUUACAGAGCAUUAAAACCAUCUCGAGUCGGGUCUGGAAAGAAAAUGUGAUAGAUACUGUAAUUUUAGAUGAACUUUGUCUCUGACAUUGGAAUCUGCCACUCUCCUUUGGCUCCUGUUUUUACAUCUGCAAGGGCUGUGUUUUUAUUGAAAGGCGGAUGGAAGCAAGCUGGGUUUAAAAACAAUUAUCACGAUAGUAAAGGUGCUGUAGAUAUAAUGGAAAAAAUAUAGUGAAAUAAAAAUUGUGAAAAUUAAUGGUAAUGAAUUGUAACAACACACUUGACAGCUAUUUCAAGGCUUGAAAUAGCACAGAUAAUUAGACAACUGAGAAGUUGCUACAGCAUGUAUGGUUUUGUUCAUACUCAGAUCAUUUUAUCUUAUUAAAAAACAUGAAUUCAGAGACUGUUGCAAUCACUGGAACAACUGAACUACUUAUAUGCAAUUGGAAUUUCUCACUUAGGCCCAAUAGCGUGGCAUGCUAUGUUUCUGAAUGUAGUAUUUCAUUAAUUAGAAAUUAAAUCACCCAUGCUUGUGACAGUAACACAUUGGCUUUGUAAUGUAGUGAUAAUGAAAAGGAU
This is a long non-coding RNA of Gallus gallus (chicken), 910 nucleotides long. Lineage: Eukaryota; Metazoa; Chordata; Aves; Galliformes; Phasianidae. The record is from Ensembl.